Molecule: non-coding RNA, 98 nt
Filed under: Orenia metallireducens
Lineage: Bacteria; Bacillati; Bacillota; Clostridia; Halanaerobiales; Halobacteroidaceae
Also listed under: 1 other name
Description: TPP riboswitch aptamer (THI element)
Rfam family: TPP riboswitch aptamer (THI element)
About the family: Vitamin B(1) in its active form thiamin pyrophosphate (TPP) is an essential coenzyme that is synthesised by coupling of pyrimidine and thiazole moieties in bacteria. The previously detected thiamin-regulatory element, thi box was extended, resulting in a new, highly conserved RNA secondary structure, the THI element, which is widely distributed in eubacteria and also occurs in some archaea.
Source: Rfam by way of RNAcentral
UAGAAACACUAGGGGUGCCUAUAGGCUGAGAAGAGUACUACUCUAACCCUUAACCUGAUUGGGAUAAUGCCUGCGUAGGGAAGUGGAAGACUAAGAUG